This is an unclassified non-coding RNA of Pongo abelii (Sumatran orangutan), 148 nucleotides long. It matches the Rfam family "Metazoan signal recognition particle RNA". Rfam says of the family: The signal recognition particle (SRP) is a universally conserved ribonucleoprotein. It is involved in the co-translational targeting of proteins to membranes. The record is from Ensembl. Lineage: Eukaryota; Metazoa; Chordata; Mammalia; Primates; Hominidae.
GCCAGGUGUGGUGGCGCACGCCUGUAAUCCCAUCUACAAGGGAGGCUGAGGCAUGAGAAUCGUUUGAACCCGGGAGACAGAGGUUGCAGUGAGCCAAGGUUGCACCACUGCACUCCAGCCUGGGUGACAGAGCGAGACUCUGCCUCAA